Molecule: transfer RNA, 66 nt
Filed under: Xystodesmus sp. YD-2016
Lineage: Eukaryota; Metazoa; Arthropoda; Diplopoda; Polydesmida; Xystodesmidae
Description: tRNA-Gly
Source: RNAcentral
GUUUAUUGAGUAUGAUAAGUAUAACUAAUUUCCAAUUAGGAGGAUCAAAUAUUGUUGAAAUGGAUA